AGUGAACGCUGGCGGUAGGCCUAACACAUGCAAGUCGAACGGCAGCACAGUAAGAGCUUGCUCUUACGGGUGGCGAGUGGCGGACGGGUGAGGAAUACAUCGGAAUCUACUUUUUCGUGGGGGAUAACGUAGGGAAACUUACGCUAAUACCGCAUACGACCUACGGGUGAAAGCAGGGGAUCUUCGGACCUUGCGCGAUUGAAUGAGCCGAUGUCGGAAUAGCUAGUUGGCGGGGUAAAGGCCCACCAAGGCGACGAUCCGUAGCUGGUCUGAGAGGAUGAUCAGCCACACUGGAACUGAGACACGGUCCAGACUCCUACGGGAGGCAGCAGUGGGGAAUAUUGGACAAUGGGCGCAAGCCUGAUCCAGCCAUACCGCGUGGGUGAAGAGGGCCUUCGGGUUGUAAAGCCCUUUUGUUGGGAAAGAAAAGCAGCAGGUUAAUACCCCGCUGUUCUGACGGUACCCAAAGAAUAAGCACCGGCUAACUUCGUG
RNAcentral lists this ribosomal RNA (492 nucleotides) under uncultured bacterium. Its description in RNAcentral is "partial 16S ribosomal RNA". It matches the Rfam family "Bacterial small subunit ribosomal RNA", at positions 29 to 507 of the family's 1533-position model. The record is from RNAcentral.